This 216-nucleotide long non-coding RNA is filed under the name Elaeis guineensis (African oil palm). Its description in RNAcentral is "long non-coding RNA (EGUI_LNC079492)". The record is from RNAcentral. Lineage: Eukaryota; Viridiplantae; Streptophyta; Magnoliopsida; Arecales; Arecaceae.
AGGGGUUUGGAGGUGCUAGCCUGCAAGCAACUUCGAUAGCUGAUCUCUUCCUUCUUCUUCAAGCAUCUUGGACACUCCAAAGCAAUAAGAGAUCUAUAGGAGGAAGAGAGGAAGAUGAUAAGAGCUCUAAAAAACUAUAAAAUAGUAAGGAAACCAAUGAUGGGACAUCCAAGAUAGAAGCCCCCUUUUUAUAGACUAGGAAUUAGGGUUUCACCA